RNAcentral lists this small nuclear RNA (150 nucleotides) under Ursus thibetanus thibetanus. RNAcentral's name for it is "U4 spliceosomal RNA (ENSUTTG00000002038.1)". It matches the Rfam family "U4 spliceosomal RNA". From Rfam's summary of the family: U4 small nuclear RNA (U4 snRNA) is a component of the major U2-dependent spliceosome. The structure of U4 snRNA from yeast and human has been reported. U4 snRNA presents a k-turn RNA motif in the 5p-SL related to recognition of Snu13 protein. The record is from RNAcentral. Lineage: Eukaryota; Metazoa; Chordata; Mammalia; Carnivora; Ursidae.
AGCUUUGCGCAGUGGCAGUAUCGUAGCCAAGGGGUUUAUCCGAGGCGCGAUUAUUGCUAAUUGAAAAGUCUUCCAUUUUUUACACCUCCUUGGAGUUCCCCUCUACGUGUUAGAUGGGAUGCUGCCUAUUUCAGGAAUUGUUUAAUAAAG